GAUGAACGCCGGCGGUGUGCCUAAUACAUGCAAGUCGAGCGCACUGGCCCAACUGAUAUGACGUGCUUGCACUGAUUUGACGAUGGAUUACCAGUGAGCGGCGGACGGGUGAGUAACACGUGGGCAACCUGCCCUGGAGCGGGGGAUAACAUCUGGAAACAGGUGCUAAUACCGCAUGACUACUAAAACCACCUGGUUUUAGUAUAAAAGAAGGCUUCAGCUUUCACUUUAGGAUGGGCCCGCGGUGCAUUAGCUAGUUGGUAAGGUAACGGCUUACCAAGGCGAUGAUGCAUAGCCGAGUUGAGAGACUGAUCGGCCACAAUGGAACUGAGACACGGUCCAUACUCCUACGGGAGGCAGCAGUAGGGAAUCUUCCACAAUGGGCGCAAGCCUGAUGGAGCAACACCGCGUGAGUGAAGAAGGGUUUCGGCUCGUAAAGCUCUGUUGUUGAAGAAGAACGUGCGUGAGAGUAACUGUUCA
Molecule: ribosomal RNA, 480 nt
Filed under: Limosilactobacillus vaginalis
Lineage: Bacteria; Bacillati; Bacillota; Bacilli; Lactobacillales; Lactobacillaceae
Description: bacterial SSU rRNA
Rfam family: Bacterial small subunit ribosomal RNA
Source: RNAcentral